AUCUUUAAACAUGGGCUUUCCACAAGUCAGUAAAGAACCAUUGUCUUUAGACAAAAGAAAUAUUUUUGCUUCAAUAAAUUUGAAUAGUUUCCUAGGGCUAAAUUCUCUCCUAAGACAUUUGGAUACAGUUUCCAUUCUAGAGAGGGGAGUUGCUGGUAUAUGUGCAAAAGCUUAAUUUUACUUAUUUUUUUACCCUCAUGGGGUACAAUUUCAUUGCCAUUGAUUCCAUGAUAUUAAAACAUUUUAUGGUGGCGUAGUUGCAUUUUUUGGUACCUGAAGACAGACAGCUCCUUGCCAGACCUGCUUUCAAAAGCAAGAUGAGAAGGAAGUGCCUAGUUUAAUUCUUUUUCCUGAAUAAGCAUGACUCCAAAAACAUUAACUCAUGAGAUUUCUUUCUUAUAAUCCCUGUCUCCUUUUUCCACGACAGUUUACUUAGACCAGACAAUUUCACUCAAAAGCUUUACAAAGUGGAAAACAGUAAACAUGACAACAGAAGACUAGAGGUGGUCUACCAGCAAGUUUGUCUUAAGUGAACUGAGAGACCUGUACCACCACCCUUUGGCAGCAGUCACUUCACAGCAUGGAUCCUUCUUGUUUAUUUCAAACCACAACUAAUUAAAAGUAGACUUACUACUCAGUUCUUGUGAACA
Strigops habroptila (Kakapo) is the source of this 650-nucleotide long non-coding RNA. RefSeq lists it as uncharacterized. The record is from RefSeq and is a predicted model, not a curated record. The transcript has 2 exons. NCBI's taxonomy places the organism in Eukaryota, Metazoa, Chordata, Aves, Psittaciformes, Psittacidae.